GCAUGUCCUGAAAUGUUAAUUUUUUUAUAUUUAGGGAUAAAUCCAAUAUAAGCGAGGAUGUAUAUGUAGGCAAUCAGCAUUUCAUGCAGAAGUUAACCUAGGUUUAGUACUUCGAUAUCAACCGCCAAUCUACAUUUUAGAGUCAAAAGUAAUAAAAAUAUGGAAAUAAACUUAGCAUGAUUGGCAGGUGGCACCUCACAUUUCUGUUCAUUUUCUGUUAUAUCAGCGUCUAAAGCGACCAUAUUAACUGCUGGCAGAAAAAGAACGAAACAGUAGACACCAUGGCAUAUCCAUAGUAUCAAGUCUGAUUUAACUGGCCCACUACCCUUUGGCAAUCUAGUUUCACUCCAAAAUUGAGCUAACGCCAUAGUGAUUUGGUUUUCCAUUCCCAAGGUCCAGCUCUUAGUCUGUGUCCUCUCGAUAAAUAAAUGAUCUAGUAGGACAAAGGACAAAAUAAUAUAUGCUUUGACUUUGUUUUUGCUAAAACAUCCACAAAGAUUUACGGCAAGGGAAAAAUGGUAAUCAGGCCAAAUUUUUAUAUUUAUAAAAAUAAAAUGUGAUUAAUGACACAUUGCAAAACAAAAAACUUGUUACUCAUCAAGGACCAACAUAUUCUUUUGCAUUUGCUCAAAAGUAAUACUUUUUUAUAACAUAACAUUCAUCAUUAUCUGCCUUUUACAUAUUUAAUUAUGGAUUCAAACAGUGAGAAGCAAGCAAAAGCAUCAAAAUCCUGAUGUUAAUAUGAUUAGUCAAACUAGGAUCUGAACUGAACUAAAACAGUGAGUAGAAACGACAUGGAGCGUGAAAAUGUCAAUAUACAGCACCAGUUCACGUUGCAUUUGCUGAUUUUGCUGAAGAUUGUUAUCCCUUUCGUCCUUCAGACGCUGUAUUGUCUGGAUCUGGAUAAAAGGAAAGGAACAAUUUACUGAGUAAAAAGGACAAAAGGUUCGCAUAAUAUGUUUUUUUAUUAGUAACAGCUUGAUCAUAAAAGUUAAUUGCUGCAUAGUGAGCAUAUCUCAUCCAGGGCACACUUUAGAAUCAUGAUUUUUGGAAAAAAGUUUGAGUUGGAAUAUGUCAAUCAGGAUAAAGGAAGAUACUCUGGUCCAGAUGAACAAAAGUGGGUAAAAAAUUCCAAAUUCUGGUCCCAUUGCACAAUUAACUAUGUACAUAGGGCAACAUGCUCGUGGGCUUCUGGGCAUCCCUUCCUACCUCAAUCAUGACACCGGCCUGGAAGUAUAGGUACCUUUUCUCACGCUCGAUCAACUUUAUGUUGAUUUCAACAAUGAUUUAAUGAUGCUUGAACAUUGUCCUGCUUCCAUAUUUGCUCUUUUCACAAUUUUAUAUAAGAAAAUGUAGUGUGUAUUUGCUUCUGCAUUUAAGAAUCUAAGAGAGAAAUAGUAUUUGCAAGACUAUAGCAACUACCUCAGUGCAAAAACGUACUGCAAAAAGAUCCUAAGAUGAACCUAAUGUAUAUUUUUUGGAAGUGCGCAGCGCAAUAUUACAGAGUUUGGUAGAGACUUCAAGCCUGUCAAGUCUAAAUGGUAGAAUAAUUCUUUCUCCAUCAGGGGAAAUGUCUUUGCUAGCAGUUUUUUUGGUCAGGUUUCUAAAUAAACAUGUGAAAUUUCUGUUUGGAUAGAGCGCGUUACCUCUUCAAUGCUUGCAUUCUUCAGCAUCUGCAAGAUGAUAGAGCUAGCCAAUCUCACCGAGAGAUCGUCGCCACCCUGCUUGAAGCUCCUAUUUGCUGAAGAUGUGACACCAGAGUCGUCUGAGCUUCCACUGGGCAAUGUGUAGACAACCUUGAGCUUCAUUUCCUCAAUCACCUUAUCAGCCUCCUUGUUGAACUGAGGGAUACAUAUAAAGGGGGGAUUUCGUCCAUGUCGGUGCUGGCAGCCACCCUGGUGCUCUGAAUCAAGAAUUUAUCCUUGGAUUGCAUAUCUGGAGGGUACUCUUUCUGCGACUGUAGGGUAACUAUAACCCAAAACAAGAAGGCAGAUGCGCACACAUCAGAACCAAAUAAAGAAUCCUGGAGCAUGUAUGUAUCUAUGCAUGCAUGCUUACUUGUUAUCGUGCAAGAAUCCCACGGCUGGACGACGCUGGCGUUCGGCCGGACGAAGUACUUCCUCGGAGACGUCGUCUUGACCUGAAUGCAAAUGAACAUAUUCUGAUCAAACCUGAACCUCGAUCUUCUUCAAGAGCUUCACCGAGACGCACAGCGGAAAACCAGAGUCCGUCCUGCGCCGUGGAAUGGAAAUGGCACGAACCUUGAAGGCGACAUGGUGCUCGCUGUUGUUCACCACCUUGAGAUUGCAGUAGCACGGCUUGUCCAGCUCGACUACGCACAAGAAUUCAGUUCAACCAACGUAGAGAAAACCACGGAGGGUUUUUUAUUUUGCAGAAUGCGGAGAAAAUCUCAAGAACAACUUACAGAGGAAGGUGAGGUCGUCCGGG
This is a long non-coding RNA of Triticum aestivum (bread wheat), 2448 nucleotides long. RefSeq lists it as uncharacterized. NCBI's taxonomy places the organism in Eukaryota, Viridiplantae, Streptophyta, Magnoliopsida, Poales, Poaceae. The record is from RefSeq and is a predicted model, not a curated record. The transcript has 3 exons.